RNAcentral lists this non-coding RNA (85 nucleotides) under Pseudomonas sp. GV071. The record is from RNAcentral. Lineage: Bacteria; Pseudomonadati; Pseudomonadota; Gammaproteobacteria; Pseudomonadales; Pseudomonadaceae.
CUCUAUGGCGGUUGUGCGCGGGACACCCUCGGGUGUGCCGGUUCCUACGUCCCGGUCGACCAACCCGCGCACAGCUGCCUCCUAU